GUCCACGCCGUAAACGAUGAGUGCUAGACGUUGGGCAGCCUAGCUGUUCAGUGUCGCAGCUAACGCAUUAAGCACUCCGCCUGGGGAGUACGGCCGCAAGGUUGAAACUCAAAGGAAUUGACGGGGGCCCGCACAAGCGGUGGAGCAUGUGGUUCAAUUCGACGCAACGCGAAGAACCUUACCAACCCUUGACAUGCCAGGACGGUACUCAGAGAUGGAUACCUUCCCGCAAGGGACCUGGACACAGGUGCUGCAUGGCUGUCGU
This 265-nucleotide ribosomal RNA is filed under the name uncultured bacterium. RNAcentral's name for it is "partial 16S ribosomal RNA". It matches the Rfam family "Bacterial small subunit ribosomal RNA", at positions 793 to 1055 of the family's 1533-position model. The record is from RNAcentral.